CAAGGUAUAUAGAUUUAGGAGGUAGAAUUAUAUAGAGCAAUUUGACAUUUCGCGACUUGACGUUUUUGUUCCGUGGUGAGGUGGAGAAGAAAUGGUUGUGGAAUGGUAGAAGGUAUUGGUGGAGGUAUUGUUUACAAAUAUUUACCCUCAUAGCUUCUUGUACUUUCGGUUUGCUCGGUUGUGGAUUGCGUGUUUUUGGUGGCUUUGAAGUGAUAUCAUAAGGAAGUGUGUUUUUUGAAGGUUAAUUUUUUGUUAUAGUUAUUUUUUAUAAUCAUUUAAUAAAAAUUAUAGUUUGUAUUAAGUGAUUUUGACUAUAACUUGGAUAGAUGUGUAGAUUCUAAAUUAAGAUCCACAUCUACAGUUCUUUGAAAUCGUUAGUUAAGUUUCAUUUACGAUAAUUUUCUUAUAAAAUAGUGUUUAGUUAGGUUAGUUAGUUAGCUCUAUGGUAAGAUAGUUACGUUAGUAUAGGUAUUAGUUUGAUAUUUUGUUGUUUGUUUUCAAGUAGCAUUAGUUAAAUUUUGUUUCUUUCAUUACCAUAACGAAUUUCAUAAGAACUUUUCUAAAACUUUUAAACAUGCCUGCUCCCUGUGCUGUUUCACUGUGUCGCAAUAAACGAUGCGAUGCAAAAAAACAUUCGGUGGAGAUUUCCUUCCACAUUUUCCCAAAAUCUGAACCCCUUCGUAAAUCUUGGGUUCAAUUUUGUAACCGGGAGGAAAAUUGGGAACCUUCAAUAAAUGACGUGAUAUGUUCAACACAUUUCCUAGAAAAUGAUUAUCUAAUGCCAAUUAAUAAUUUGGUUGGUGCUAAAGUGUCUCGAAGACUUCUUCUUCCUAAUGCUAUUCCAACAAUUAAAACUGCAUUGCAUACUGCAAUGAGUAAUCAACAGGAGGAAGAUUUGGAGUAAAGUUGUUCCGUUUCAUUGAAUCGUUAAAUAAAAAUAAUGAACAGCAAAUACAGCUUUAAAAUAGACUUAUUGUAAACGGUUGGCACCUGCACACGUUGGGUUGUGUUGUUCACGAAUAAAAAUUACAAAUUUUCCCUCUUGCCUUAAAUAUUGAAUGCCCCGUAAACAGUUUACAGUAUCAUUCAAUAUAAACGUUCUUACACCGAUGAUCGAUGGAGUCCUUACCUGGAUCCAGUGGAGGCAGCACAUCAUGAUACUGAUACUUUACGGUCCACGCACUGGUGGUGCUGGUGCUUUCAAAUCAUAGUGAAACUUUCCGAACAAUCUGAUGGCAGAGAAUCGAAUUAGUCGUUCGUUGAAACCACAGAUGAAUGAAGAAUAGAGGAAGCAUCCAUACAAUCUACUGGACAACGAAUGCAUAAAAUACUUACCUACGCAUAAUUGCUAAUGCUAUCCAGUGAAGCAUUAUACGCCUGACGGGUACGAAAGAUAAGGGUUUCGAGGUGGAUGCGGCACAAUUCUAUCCUAUUCCUUGUAAUUUAUGGUACUUAGCACGAGAAUCGAACAGCUUCACUUAAUCUACCAGUGUAAUUUUAUCGAGUGGUAUGCCGUAAUUCGAUACGUCCGAUAGGCCUUUGGUAGC
Long non-coding RNA from Anopheles stephensi (Asian malaria mosquito), 1547 nucleotides. RefSeq lists it as uncharacterized. The transcript has 2 exons. The record is from RefSeq and is a predicted model, not a curated record. Lineage: Eukaryota; Metazoa; Arthropoda; Insecta; Diptera; Culicidae.